Molecule: transfer RNA, 91 nt
Filed under: Heterodermia speciosa
Lineage: Eukaryota; Fungi; Ascomycota; Lecanoromycetes; Caliciales; Physciaceae
Rfam family: tRNA
About the family: Transfer RNA (tRNA) molecules are approximately 80 nucleotides in length. Their secondary structure includes four short double-helical elements and three loops (D, anti-codon, and T loops).
Source: Rfam by way of RNAcentral
GCACCAAUAGCUCAGUUGGGAGAGCGCCAGACUGAAGAGCACUUCAGCCACUGAAAUCUGGAGGUCACCCGUUCGAUCCGGGUUUGGUGCA